UGGCCAUGAUGCAUUGAAUUUCUGAAAGUAAGUUGUUUAUGUAAAUUAGAAAUGAUAGCUUCUAAACCCUGAGCCAA
Small nucleolar RNA from Rhincodon typus (whale shark), 77 nucleotides. The record is from RefSeq and is a predicted model, not a curated record. NCBI's taxonomy places the organism in Eukaryota, Metazoa, Chordata, Chondrichthyes, Orectolobiformes, Rhincodontidae.